This 4914-nucleotide long non-coding RNA is filed under the name Canis lupus familiaris (dog). RNAcentral's name for it is "lncRNA (ENSCAFG00845020548.1)". The record is from RNAcentral. Lineage: Eukaryota; Metazoa; Chordata; Mammalia; Carnivora; Canidae.
UACUCAAACUAACCCUUGCAAAAUGAACAAGAGGGUUAAGCAGAUUCCUACAAAGAGACUGAAGACUAAACUAAAUGUAAGUAUAAGCAAACAACAAGAAAGCAACAGAGCUGGUGUCACUUUUAUUCCUAGAUAGACUCAUCAGUCACUGAAGAGGUAAAAAUGAUGUUGGUCCCACUAGAUCUGACAAAGUUAGCCAGAGUAAAUUGUCGUUAGCACAAUGACUUUAUGAUGUAGAUCUACAUUGAUUUUCAUAAUGAUGGUCCUUACCUUUUGUGAAUAUGGAGCACUAAGAUAUCAGUGUAUGUGUUUUUUUUUUUUUAUUUUUUAUUUAUUUACUUAUGAUAGUCACAGAGAGAGAGAGAGGCAGAGACACAGGCAGAGGGAGAAGCAGGCUCCAUGCACCGGGAGCCUGAUAUGGGAUUCGAUCCCGGGUCUCCAGGAUCGCGCCCUGGGCCAAAGGCAGGUGCCAAACCGCUGCGCCACCCAGGGAUCCCUCAGUGUAUGUGUUUUUAAGCACAGGAUGAACUUGGUAGAACAAAGGAGGAACAGGACAAUAAGGAGUUGGCUUUAUUUUUCUCUAAACAUCAUUCUUAAUCAUGAUUGUCUUAGUCCAUUCAGGCUAUUAUAACAAAAUACCAUAAUGAGUGGCUUAUAAAAAACCAGAAAUUUCUUUUUCACAGUCUGGAGGCUGGGAAAUCUGAGAUCAUGGUGCCUGCAUGUUUGCAUUGGCUCCUAAGGGCCCUCUUCCUGGUUCAUAGCUGGCAUCUUCCCAUCAGGUGAAAGGGUCUAGGGGAGCUCUCUGCGGUUUCUUUAAUAAGAGCAUUAACUCCGUUCAUGAGAGCUCCAGCCUCGUGAUCUAAUCACCUCACAUAGACCCCACCUCCUAAUAAUUCACAUUGGAUAUUAAAAUUUUAACAUAUGAAUUUUGAGGUGGCCACAUUCAAAACAUAGCAAUGAUAUCCCCCACCCCACCCCAUUGUUGAACAAGUUAUUGGAUUAAUAUUAUUUUAGUCACUUGCAGCUAUGUAAAAAGCCUCAUGUAGGUAAAUAUAAGCCAUCUUCAGGUGUUAGAGGAUUCAACUCAGCCUAACACUGAAACAGCACUCUCACACCCAGGGGACUUACAGUGUCAGAGGUGUCUCAACCUUUCUCAGGUAGAUGAAGAGAAGCAAGAGCCUUUUGUCACUGGUGCCACUAUUGUUCUAUCUUGAUUAACACUGUCUGGCUCUUCCAUGGGACAUUUGUGUGUUGUUUGGAAUGUCCUCCUGUGGGAAGUGAUGUGGGUGAUACAUUCUACUACCGACUCCUGGGUCCAGCCCCUUCAGCUCUUACCUUCGGCAGUCUACCCUACAGACUCUAACUCCUCACCCUUGUCCUCAUGGGUUGUUUUCUUGGGCAGGCCCCAUCAAGACAGUUUGGACAUGCAUCUAUGUGCCCAUGGGAACCACCUACAUUCUCGCCACCCAAAAGAGAGCAUUCAGGUCUGCUCUCCUCUUGCCUUUGAUGGCUGAAGGCUCUACCUACCCUCCUGCUCUCUGUUGUCACUAGCUGGUAAAUAGAUCCCAAUCUUCAUGUUCACCCUUGCCUUCAUUCAAUCAGUCCCCAAGUUAUUCUGAUUUUACCUCUUAAAUAUUUCUCAAAUGGAUUUUUUCCCUCUCUUUUCUUACUGCCAUUUUUUGAGUUCGAUCUUUCAUCUAUUUUUCUUUCUAACUUAUCUUGUCCUCUUGAAACCUACCCUCCAUGUAACUGCUGGAAUGAUUAUCAAAAAUGAAAAUUGAAUCCCAUCACUAUUCUGCAUAAUGAACAUUGAUGUUUCUCCUUGGGCAUUGCCUACAGGAUCAGUCCCAAGUUUAACUUGGCCUAAAAGCUUCUCCAUGAUCUGAUUCCUGGUCACCAUAAACACAUGCCAAGGUACAUCCUGGCUGCCUUGAUUUUUACUAUCCUUCCAUUGGAAAUGUUUUCUAGCCAUCAUGCUGUCCUCCCCACAGCUAACUCAUUGGUUAAGACUCAGCUCAUUUUAGUCUCCUCCAGGGGCCUUCCCCUGAGACCUCACCUCCACCUACACUCCCAUUGGCCCUGAGCUGGGUUAGGAGCCCCUCCUCAUCCCUCUUUAGGCUCUUUUUGUCACUGUUGGUUCUAUUACUGCACUUACAGUGUAUGUUCCAGUAUGUAUGUGUCCAUUAGACUGAGCAUCUGGGAGGAAGAACAGGGUCUUUUUGAUUUGACUUUCCUUGUGCUGGCACAUGAUAGGCACUAAAAUAUUUGCUGAAGGAAUAAGUGAAGAAAUGGAAGAAUAAAAUAAGGCUUUAAGAUAACAGAGGGCAGGAGAUGAGGUUGGAAAAGAUGAUUUGACUCCUUCUUUCCCCUUUAUUGUUUCUGCUGCAAUUCUGAGUCACCACCAAGUGGGCUUUCUCAACAGCAGUGGGGAAGCCAUCUGUGCUCCCACCACCUGUCUGCAUGUCUUUUUUUCCCACUUAAGAAAAUACAUGGCCAGAGUAGAGAUGGUCAUUCCUUUGACUUGUAGCACAAAGAUUUCUUGCCUAAGAGGAUCGUGACAGUUUGCCUGGUUUUAGGAAACAAAACAAACAAUGGAACUGGUGCCUGUGGGUUUUCUCAUUGGAUUCCAGACGUGUGGUGGGUGUGAGUAAUCAUAGAGAGGUAUUUCUGAAAUGCUUCUAGGUUUCCAAGGUUGUCUGAUAGUCCCAAUUCUUACAAAGCAUUUUCAGACUUUUCAUGACUGCAGUUGCCAAUGGGAAGGUAGACUAGGAAUAGGCAGGAUGAUAGGCAGCCAUGAGAAUCUGGGACCAGGAUGGCUGGAAGACCUAGAAACAGUAUUCAAGAAGCUGCCAUUUGAUGAGGCUCCUAAAUAGCAGGGUUGGGGAGGUAGAGAAAGGCAGGAACAUGGUGGGCCCUAUGGCACAUUUUGCCUCUGUCUGUAUUUACCUAGUGUCUAGCACUGAAUCUGGGAAAUAGCAGACAUCUGCUAAGGGAGAAGGUGACACAGGACUUAGCAAUGUCUAGGAUUAUUUCAAAAAAACAAAUAAACUUGUCCUAAACCAUGGCAGCCACUGAAAAUAACUUAGUCUUGCAAAAGUAUGGACUUUCUAAAUUAAGAGAAAUGGUUUUGGCCUUCAGUUCUUGCAUAUGCCUAAGAUCAUUGUUAUAUAAGCAGUAAGAUCUUUCCUGUAAAACUCUGAAGAAACACCAAUAUGCUUUUGCAGCCUGCUCAGUAUCCAUCUCCCCUUUUUCUGAUAAAAGAGCCCCACCUUUUCUUUUGGGGAAUUAUCCUUCUCUGUAGUUAAUCCAUGUGAGAUCUGUCCUCUUGUUUUCAGAAAUGGACAUGUCUAAGACCCGAGACUAGGCAAUAAAAGGAUAGCAACUCCUGGCCACAGUGAUGUGUCUAGGGGAGAGGACAAAAGUCAGGCCUUGAAGAUACAGGCUUGGCUCUUAUCUUGGAAUGAUUGUCAAAAAAAGCUGGCUUUCUUUCUUUUCUUUCUUUUUUCCUUUCUUUCUUCAUUAGAGAGAGGAAAUCUUAAGCAUUUUGGACUAAGCAUGGAGCCUGACAUGGGGCUUGAUCUCAUAAUCCUGAGUUCAUCACCUGAGCCAAAAUCAAGAGUUGGAUGCUUAACCGACUAAGCCACCCAGGUGCCCCAAAGAGGUUGCUAUGAGAAAAUGUAAGCCUAGAAAUGCUGGAAGCUGUGUUUGGGAAAAGCCUACCUGGAAAUUAUGCCAAGUCAGAGGAAAGCAGAGCAUAAUGAUGGAGAAAAUCAGAUUCCUGAUAACAUUGUAUGUAUGCCUAGAUCAAGCCAGACCUGUAACCAACUUAACCCUGGAUUUGUUAUAUUCCAAAAGUCAAUAAAUUUCUUUUGUUUAAUUAAGUCAGUUUUAAUGGAUUUUCUGUUAUUGUCUAUCCCCAAAUUUCUCACAUUCUAAGACCCUGGAAUUCUGCUAGGAGUGGAUGGAGUCUUACCUACUGCUGUCUAGGAGAUACUUCUUGUAUAUGCCCUCUGGUUCACACAGGAACAUGAUAGAGGCUCACACUAUGGAAAAUGACAGGAGUUAUUAGGACAGAAGCUCAUCCCACUUACUCUUUUUCUUAGGUAGAUACGUAAGGUAAAGAAAUAUUGACUUGAGACAUGAUAUGUAUUUUUAAGGUUACUAUGACAUUUUGAAUACUUUCAAAAGAGAAAAUAAUUUUCCACUUUUCCCUCACCCUCCAUUUCUUCUUCUUCUUUUUCUUCUUCUUCUUUUUAAAGAUUUUAUUUAUUUAUUCAUGAGAGACAGAGAGAGAGAGAGAGAGGCUGAGACAUAGGCAGAGGGAGAAGCAGGCUUCCUGCAGGGUGCCUGAUGUGGGACUUGAUCCCAGGACCCAGGAUCAUGACUUGAACCAAAGGCAGAUGUUCAACCACUGAGCCACCCAGGGGCCCCUCUAUUUUUUUUUUCUAAGGACAGUGAUAAGAAAAGCUCUUCUACUUUGAAUCUUGAGUUUUCUGUUUGUCCUUGCUUCCUAUCCCUCUUUCCCACAGCCCUCCUGCCAGUCUCCCAAUGUGGUGCCUGGGACAGCCUUGCCACAGGGCCCAUACCAAUGCCAAUAGCUCCAAUUCAGAAAUAGUUCUGACAUCAUUGUUCUAACUUUACCUUCUCUCUCUCUCUUUUUUUUUUCCUCUCUCUUUCUUAUUUGCAUUGGACUCAGUUCUGUAUUUAUUCCACAAAUAUUUAUUGGCACCUACUAUAUGAUAAGCACAGUUUUGGGCAUUUCAGAUAUAUCAGUGAACAAAACUAUUCUCACAGAGCUUGCAUAUUAUAGUGUGUGCAUGUGUGUGUAGACAAUGAAUAAUAAAUAUUACAAGCAGGUAAAUUAUAUAGUCAUAAAAGGGUCCUGAGGAAAAAAGAUGAAAAAGCAGAAAAAAA